This 99-nucleotide ribosomal RNA is filed under the name Baia soyae. Its description in RNAcentral is "partial 16S ribosomal RNA". It matches the Rfam family "Bacterial small subunit ribosomal RNA", at positions 1 to 105 of the family's 1533-position model. Lineage: Bacteria; Bacillati; Bacillota; Bacilli; Caryophanales; Thermoactinomycetaceae. The record is from RNAcentral.
UUUAAAUGGAGAGUUUGAUCCUGGCUCAGGACGAACGCUGGCGGCGUGCCUAAUACAUGCAAGUCGAGCGAGGAGCUUUUAGCUCCUAGCGGCGAACGG